RNAcentral lists this ribosomal RNA (380 nucleotides) under uncultured eukaryote. RNAcentral's name for it is "partial 18S ribosomal RNA". It matches the Rfam family "Eukaryotic small subunit ribosomal RNA", at positions 592 to 976 of the family's 1831-position model. The record is from RNAcentral.
CAAUAGCGUAUAUUAAAGUUGUUGCAGUUAAAAAGCUCGUAGUUGGAUUUGUGGCGUACGGUGUGUUCCGGGCACUUGUUGUCUGAGUAACAUGCUGUUGCCAUCCUUGGGUGGAACCUGUGUGGCAUUAGGUUGUCGUGCAGGGGAUGCCCAUCAUUUACUGUGAAAAAAUUAGAGUGUUCAAAGCAGGCUUAUGCCGUUGAAUAUAUUAGCAUGGAAUAAUGAGAUAGGACUUUUUUGCUAUUUUGUUGGUUUGCGCAAAGAGGUAAUGAUUAAUAGGGACAGUUGGGGAUAUUCGUAUUCCAUUGUCAGAGGUGAAAUUCUUGGAUUUUUGGAAGACGAACUACUGCGAAAGCAUUUACCAAGGAUGUUUUCAUUAA